RNAcentral lists this ribosomal RNA (253 nucleotides) under uncultured bacterium. Its description in RNAcentral is "partial 16S ribosomal RNA". It matches the Rfam family "Bacterial small subunit ribosomal RNA", at positions 524 to 776 of the family's 1533-position model. The record is from RNAcentral.
UACGUAGGGUGCAAGCGUUGUCCGGAAUUAUUGGGCGUAAAGAGCUCGUAGGCGGUUUGUCGCGUCUGCUGUGAAAACCCGAGGCUCAACCUCGGGCCUGCAGUGGGUACGGGCAGACUAGAGUGCGGUAGGGGAGAUUAGAAUUCCUGGUGUAGCGGUGGAAUGCGCAGAUAUCAGGAGGAACACCAAUGGCGAAGGCAGAUCUCUGGGCCGUAACUGACGCUGAGGAGCGAAAGCAUGGGGAGCGAACAGG